UUAAAUGUCCAUCAUGGGAAACACCUUUAGAGUAACUCUGUGGUUUUGCUUUAUUCACAGAGCUCUUUGUUAGAACUAUGGAAAGAAACUACAACAUAGAG
Chlorocebus sabaeus (green monkey) is the source of this 101-nucleotide small nucleolar RNA. The record is from Ensembl. Lineage: Eukaryota; Metazoa; Chordata; Mammalia; Primates; Cercopithecidae.